AAAAUGCGUAGAUAUAUGGAGGAACACCAGUGGCGAAGGCGGCUAACUGGCCUGUAACUGACGCUGAGGCACGAAAGCGUGGGGAGCAAAUAGGAUUAGAUACCCUAGUAGUCCACGCCGUAAACGAUGGAUACUAAGUGUUGGGGAAACUCAGUGCUGCAGUUAACGCAAUAAGUAUCCCGCCUGGGGAGUAUGCACGCAAGUGUGAAACUCAAAGGAAUUGACGGGGGCCCGCACAAGCGGUGGAGUAUGUGGUUUAAUUCGAAGCAACGCGAAGAACCUUACCAGGUCUUGACAUACUGGACAAGUCUAUAGAGAUAUAGAGGAGGAUGAAGGAUACAGGUGGUGCAUGGUUGUCGUCAGCUCGUGUCGUGAGAUGUUGGGUUAAGUCCCGCAACGAGCGCAACCCUUGUCUUUAGUUACUAACAUUAAGUUGAGGACUCUAGAGAGACUGCCGGUGAUAAACCGGAGGAAGGUGGGGAUGACGUCAAAUCAUCAUGCCCCUUAUGACCUGGGCUACACACGUACUACAAUGGCGUAUACGACGAGAAGCAAGACAGUGAUGUGGAGCAAAUCUCACAAAGUACGUCUCAGUUCGGAUUGAAGUCUGCAACCCGACUUCAUGAAGCUGGAAUCGCUAGUAAUCGCGGAUCAGCAUGCUGCGG
Molecule: ribosomal RNA, 665 nt
Filed under: uncultured bacterium
Lineage: Bacteria
Description: bacterial SSU rRNA
Rfam family: Bacterial small subunit ribosomal RNA
Source: RNAcentral